This 919-nucleotide long non-coding RNA is filed under the name Arabidopsis thaliana (thale cress). RNAcentral describes it as "long non-coding RNA (ATHA_LNC000050)". The record is from RNAcentral. Lineage: Eukaryota; Viridiplantae; Streptophyta; Magnoliopsida; Brassicales; Brassicaceae.
GUGCAUCUCUUGAUAUUUGUACUUUAAAAAAAAAAAACUUAUAUUAAAUGGCUUUUAUAUUUGGUUUGGACUCUUUUCUAAUUAACAAAACCAAAAUUUCUCAAAACCCAGCGUAGCAAAUAAUUUGAUUUUUUAAAAUAAUAAAAUGAAUUUUAUUUAGUAAAUGCCAUGGAAAUAUCAAAAUUAAAAAACCUAUUUUAAAAUUUUGAAUUAAAAACUUGAAUACUAAAAUCUACAUAACGAUAUAAAAACAAAUUGAAUAUUUGAAAUUUCUAACGACUAAUGCAGAUACAAAAUCCGGUUAAUUUCAUAUCAUAUUGCAAAAAUCAAGUUUCUUAAAAUCCGUAAUAUUAAAAAAAAAAAAAACUUCAAAACCCAAAUUUGAUUUUAAGUAUAAUAUUUGAAAAUCUGCUAAAAUUUUUUGAAUGAAAAUAAAAUAAAAUGGGAUAGGAUUAACAGUUCGUAUGGGCUGAAAAUUCUGUUCCUUUUGUUGGGCUUUGUUGUGCAAAAGGGCUUUGAUGAUGUCAUCAAUCCAACGCCGCCAGGCGCCACCUCUCUGUAAAUGCAAAAGCCACACUCUUCACCGGAAACGCAAAAGCCACCUCCUCAAUCUCUCUCUCUCUCUCUCUCUAUCGCCAAUUGAUUGCUGGUCCUUAUCGGAGAGAAGCUCCAACAUCAUGACUCCGAGGCCUGAAAUUCCGGCAACAUGUAGUUCGUCUCUAACCUAAUCGAUAUUUUUUAUUCUGUCACUCUCUCUCUCUCUAGCCAUCUCCGUCGUCGUUCUCAGGAUACAUCUUGGUCGAAGAAGAGUCAACAUUAACUUCCAUCGCUCAAUUUGUCGAAGAGCAACGACAAAGCAACAAAUCAAAACGUCGAACAAUUUGGAGCCAAAGAUGGAUCAACAACUCAUGAAAUUCGA